Long non-coding RNA from Oncorhynchus tshawytscha (Chinook salmon), 7332 nucleotides. The record is from Ensembl. Lineage: Eukaryota; Metazoa; Chordata; Actinopteri; Salmoniformes; Salmonidae.
CGGGGAUUCAAGGGUUACCUUGUGUUGGUAAAAUUAUGAUUAAAUGACUGAACAAAUCAUUUUAAAUGGAACUGUAACUAAGUAAACUUAUACUCUGUUUUAUUAUAUCUGAUUAACAAUAUGAGUUCAUACGAUGGUAAGACAGUGAGUGCAUUCCUAAGUUUUCUGUUAAUUAGAACUGUCAGCUCAGUGGUGAUCGAUAAUGUUGAGGGGUCAAAAGUUACCUGGGAGUGUGUUAGUAAGUUAGAAUGAACUUUUCACCUCACUUUGUCCCGGUCGAGAGGAGGGGAUUCUGUUAAAGCAAUGAAAUGAUGUCAUGAUUUGUAUAUAAACUGUUGCUCGUGGUGAAAUGGGAGCGCGCUCUGAGAAUAAAUUCUGUUACCUAUUAUUUAAAAAGACUGGUCUCCUUCUAUUUUAUGCAAACAAGAAUCUUACAAAUUCUCAUAAAAUAGAUUAAGGGUAUUCAAUUAAUGAAAGCACAUUGGCAUAAUUAAAUUAUAUUAACACCUUGUGACCAAGGACUGCCGGGGGUUCAAAGGGGGAACCUGGAGAGCCCAGUCCCAAAGGAAGCCAAGUACAAAACAACACGUGUGUUUAGUCCUUUUGCUUUUUAGAUGUGUUCAUGACUUAUAUUUUAAGAAACAGCAGUUAAUGGUGUUUUCAUUUUUCAUCGUCACCCUCCCAUUCUCUUUCUCUGGGGUGAGAGGGGGAAUAACGGUGUGCCUGAGACCCCUGGGACAAGCGUAUGUAACUUUUCCCCACUCUCGACUCUACUUGAGGGGCAUGCAUUACUCGUAACUGAUAUAGAUGUUCACACUGCCUUUUUAGACUCUGAUUUCAUGUUUUUCCAUCUCAUUGCCGCUCUGUAGGGUGAAACUGGGCUCAGAGGCAGCAAAGGAGAGGUACGUUUCAUUAGUUUGUAAAUAUCUCACUUCUCAAAUGUAACUUAUUUUCUUCUUCAGAAAUCUGCCUAUACAGACCUACAGGUCUAUUUUGAAGACUGUAACCCAUUUUCAUCUACAGUUUUCAUGCGAGUAAAGUCAUACCAUAUAAAACAAAUAUCACGAUAGGCUAAUUCCUUCUUUCGACAUCGCUGUAUCUUUUUGUGUCAGUAAAAUGUAUUAUGUGUUAUCAUAUCGAAGUAAAUUUGGAGUCACACAAUGAAAUUGUGUGUCCCACUAACACUCGGGAAACCACGCAGUUUAAAUUUGGUUACAGAAAAAUGUUGAUUAACUUCACAGAGUGGUGAAAGUGCAAGGGUCUUAUUCUGGUGACAUGAGGAUCGAUGCUGAUUUGACAAAUUAAAACAUUUUCGCUCUUAUCCAUAAUCUCAUCAUGUCGACUAGCCUACCGCCAGAGCUUAUCUGUACUGUAUCUGCGAUCUGUUGGCUAAAGUGCACGUGCCAAGAUCAGAGUAGGUACAUUUACUAUUUAACGCAACAGUUUUUGUGCCGAAACUAUCCAUAGAGUUGAACAUGCAAUGGAAACACAUUGAACAUUAGAUUUAAGCAAAAAAGUCAAGUUUGUGUGCACUACGUCCUCUCCCACUGAUUUAUAUCUGUAAGUCCGUUUGGUGGAAACACUACUGGUGGGGAAAGCAUAUCUUUUCUUCAUGCAGAUUUUGGAAUAUUGGCAUGAAAAUGUGUCACCAAUUGGAUGGAAACCUACGUAGCUACACAAACCACAUUAUUUCACCAACACUGACACAAACAAACAGAAUACAAUUCUGAUGAAGAGAAGGGAAUCUAUUUCAGUAUAUAGUGGUUAGGUCAGCUCCACAUAACCGCCUCCAAUGUCUCAUGCAAACUUCUUGGUCUGUGACAAGUAGUCCAUACAUGUAAUGUGGUUUGGACAUUACCACUUAUGCGUCACACUGUACAUAUUCAAUGGAAUCAAAAACAUAAACAAACAGAAAAAUUCUAUGCAGACAUUGGUUUUAAAAAGUAAAGUGAAUUCUACAGACUGCAAACUUACAACAGGUACAGAUGAAGUCGGAAGUUUACAUACACUUUAGGUUGGAGUCAUUAAAACUCGUUUUUCAACCACUCCACAAAUGUCUUGUUAACAAACUAUAGUUUGGGCAAGUCGGUUAGGACUUCUACUUUGUGCAGGACACAAGUCAUUUUUCCAACAAUUGUUUACAGACAGAUUAUUUCACUUAUUAUUCACUGUAUCACAAUUCCAGUGGGUCAGAAGUUUACAUACUCUAAGUUAACUGUGCCUUUAAACAUCUUGGACAAUUCCCGAAAAUGAAGCAUGGCUUUAGAAGCUUCUGAUAGGCUAAUUGACAUCAUUUGUGUCAAUUGGAGGUGUACCUAUGGAUGUAUUUCAAGGCCUACCUUCAAACUCAGUGCCUCUUUGCUUGACAUCAUAGGGAAAUCAAAAGGAAUCAGCCAAGACCUCAGAAAAUCAAUUGUAGACCUCCACAAGUCUGGUUCAUCCUUGGGAGCGAUUUCCAAACGCCUGAUGGUACCACGUUCAUCUGUACAAACAAUAGUACGCAAGUAUAAACACCAUGGGAACACGCAGCCGUCAUACCGCUCAGGAAGAAGACGUGUUCUGUCUUCUAGAGAUGGAAGUACUUUGGUGAGAUAAGUGCAAAUCAAACCCAGAUCAACAGCAAAGAACCUUGUGAAGAUGCUGGAGGAAACAGGUACAAAAGUAUCUACAUCCACAGUAAAACGAGUCCUAAAUCGACAUAACCUGAAAGGCCGCUCAGCAAGGAAGAAGUCACUGCUCCAAAACCGUCAUUAAAAAGCCAGACUACGGUUUGAAACUGCACAUGGGGACAAAGAUCGUACUUUUUGGAGAAAUGUCCUCUGAUCUAAUGAAACAAAAAUAGAACUGUUUGGCCAUAAUGACCAUCGUUAUGUUUGGAGGGAAAAGGGGGAAGCUUGCAAGCCGAAGAACACCAUCCCAACCAUGAAGCAUGGGGGUGGCAGCAUCAUGUUGUGGGGGUGCUUUGCUGCAGGACGGACUGGUGCACUUCACAAAAUAGAUGGCAUCAUGAGGGAGGAAAAUUAUGUGGAUAUAUUGAAGCAACAUCUCAAGACAUCAGUCAGGAAGUUAAAGCUUGGUCGCAAAUGGGUCUUGGUCACUGCUGGUUCUUGUGCCUCUCCUGGACAAGAUGGGUUACCAGGGCAACCAGGAGAGCAUGGAUACCCAGGGAAACCCGGCAAGCCACCAACUGAUGACCACUUGAUUAAGCUUUGUGCUAAUGUACUUCUGAGUAUGUUCCCUGCUAUUUGUUUUAAUGUAUGACCAUUAUCUGUUGUAUGGAUUAUUGAAGAUUUAGACUGUUUCAAAUGAUAGACUCCAGAAUGCUUGCUAGGAAUGAGGGCAUUAGGCAAUCACUGAUUGUUUUUAUUUUUUCACCAAGUGCACGUAUCCAGGGCAUUUCGAAAUAGUGAGGAUGUUCGUAAUUGAAGAUCUAAGACAGCAUACAGCAGCAUCCUGUUGGUCUACACAUCAUAACAACAUGUUAACUGAACUACCCCCUGGGAACAUCUGGAGCACUAGUGCAGCUUUCAUUUCUGCAUUUUGGAGAAAAAAACACACAUCCUCUGCAACACACAUUGUUGCCUAAUCUCUGUGUCUGGGUAGGACUCAGUACACAUUUCUAUUUUAGACCACAACUCUUGGAGAUACAUAAUAACAUGCUGACAGUAGUGAAGAAAAUCUGAAUCUGGCUCUGAACUAAACAAAUGCAUAGACCUACUAUUCAGUGGAACAAUGUAUAUGACAAAAUAGCAACAAUACAGUAUGGUGUUGCCUGGCAAUCCAAACUCUGUGCUCCAGCCAAACGCUACAACACGCUUACGAACAUUAGCUUCUUCUCUGCAAUGAGUCUAGAUCUGAGUACCUUCCUGACAAUUUCUAGAAGGGAAACACAUUCUAACCGUUCUGAUUGGUCCCAUAAACCGAUGGUUUGUUUUGUCGGCCACAAAUAAUCCUAUCCUUAUUGUCCUUGUUCUAUAAAUGGCACACAAUUCUUUGUCUGACAACUAAAACUGACUUAUUUCGCUGCUCUAUGUUCCCCUCAUACUUCAAUCUGAGAUUGCCAUCAUUGAAAUAUUCAAAAUAUUAUUCUAAUAGUGCUGAUCAUGAUGACAGAUAUUCUUGGCAAAAUCACAAAGUUACAUUAUGACACAUGUCAACUGUUAUAUCUUUUUUUGUUUUGUUUAUUUAUUUAAUUUGUAUUAGUCUUUAAAAAAAUUGAGGGUAGAUCAGCUUUAAUAGUGCAUAUAAAAUGUAUAUUCCAUCAAUGUAAUCUGCAUAAUUUCCAAUCCCCCAUAAAUGUUCUGGGUGUUUAUAUAUAUAUACAGUGGGGCAAAAAAGUAUUUAGUCAGCCACCAAUUUUGCAAGUUCUCCCACUUAAAAAGAUGAGAGAGGCCUGUAAUUUUCAACAUAGGUACACUUCAACUAUGACAGACAAAAUUAGAAAGAAAAUCCAGAAAAUCACAUUGUAGGAUUUUUAAUGAAUUUAUUUGCAAAUUAUGGUGGAAAAUAAGUAUUUGGUCAAUAACAAAAGUUUAUCUCAAUACUUUGUUAUAUACCCUUUGUUGGCAAUGACAGGGGUCAAACGUUUUCUGUAAGUCUUCACAAGGUUUUCACACACUGUUGCUGGUAUUUUGGCCCAUUCCUCCAUGCAGAUCUCCUCUAGAGCAGUGAUGUUUUAGGGGUGUUGCUGGGCAACACGGACUUUCAACUCCCUCCAAAGAUGUUCUAUGGGGUUGAGAUCUGGAGACUGGCUAGGCCACUCCAGGACCUUGAAAUGCUUCUUACGAAGCCACUCCUUUGUUGCCCGGGCGGUGUGUUUGGGAUCAUUGUCAUGCUGAAAGACCCAGCCACGUUUCAUCUUCAAUGUCCUUGCUGAUGGAAGAAGGUUUUCACUCAAAAUCUCACGAUACAUGGUCCCAUUCAUUCUUUCCUUUACAGGGAUCAGUCGUCCUGGUCCCUUUUCAGAAAAACAGCCCCAAAGCAUGAUGUUUCCACCCCAUGCUUCACAGCAGCUAUGGUGUUCUUUCGAUGCAACUCAGCAUUCUUUGUCCUCCAAACACAACAAGUUGAGUUUUUACCAAAAAGUUAUAUUUUGGUUUCAUCUGACCAUAUGACAUUCUCCCAAUCUUCUUCUGGAUCAUCCAAAUCUCUAGCAAACUUAAGACGGGCCUGGACAUGUACUGGCUUAAGCAGGGGGACAAGUCUGGCACUGCAGGAAUUGAGUCCCUGGCGGCGUAGUGUGUUACUGAUGGUAGGCUUUGUUACUUUGGUCCCAGCUCUCUGCAGGUCAUUCACUACGUCCCCCCGUGUGGUCUUGUAUGUCUUCCAUUUCCUAAUAAUUGCUCCCACAGUUGAUUUCUUCAAACCAAGCUGCUUACCUAUUGCAGAUUCAGUCUUCCCAGCCUGGUGCAGGUCUACAAUUUUGUUUCUGGUGUCCUUUGACAGCUCUUUGGUCUUGGCCAUAGUGGAGUUUGGAGUGUGACUGUUUGAGGUUGUGGACAGGUGUCUUUUAUACUGAUAACAAGUUCAAACAGGUGCCAUUAAUACAGGUAACGAGUGGAGGACAGAGGAGCCUCUUAAAGAAGAAGUUACAGGUCUGUGAGAGCCAGAAAUCUUGCUUGUUUGUAGGUGACAAAAUACUUAUUUUCCACCAUAAUUUGCAAAUUAAUUCAUUAAAAAUCCUACAAUGUGAUUUUCUGGAUUUUUUUCUUAUUUUGUCUGUCAUAGUUGAAGUGUACCUAUGAUGAAAAUUACAGGCCUCUCAUCUUUUUAAGUGGGAGAACUUGCACAAUUGGUGGCUGACUAAAUACUUUUUUCCCCCACUGUACCACUUGUGUCUGAGCCGUUGAAUUGCGACUCUACUUUGUCUCUAUUCUGGCGCUUAGCUUGUUUGAUUGCCUUGCGGAGGGAAUAGGUACACUUUGUAUUCGGUCAUGUUUCCGGUCACCUUGCCCUGGUUAAAAACUGUGGUUUGUGCUUUCAGUUUCAUGUGAAUGCUGCCAUCAAUCCACUGUUUCUGGGUUGGGAAUGUUUUAAUCGCUGCUAUGGGUACGACAUCGUCAAUACGUUUUCUAAUGAACUCGCUCACCGAAUCAGCGUAUUGUCAAUGUUGUUGUUUGAGGUGAGUCUGGGGUGAGGUUAUCAAUAGUAAGGCUAAUGUAGGGUUGACCACCCCCGCUUUUACUGGUCUAGAGAUCAGUAGUUGCAAGAAACCAUGUGGUUUGAGCCAAACUUUUUCGAACAUCAGCUUUAACCUGGUUGUACAGGUUUGGGAUUUCAGUCUUGGAAAAUAAUGUUUGUGAUGACACUUUGUAGUGAGGCACGGUAACCUUCAUUAUCCUCAGAAAGCCAGGCCUCUCAACAAUUUGAAAUGGCAUCAUGUCCUUUGCAAUGUAAUAUGAAAGGGCUGCAGUGAGGUCUUGAGCAUGUUUUGACAUGGUUGCAUAAGCUGCCUGCCUUUUAAAUGCUUGCUCGAGUGUCUGUGUCACAACUGUAGAUGAGGAGGGGGGGGGCCCACUAUGUAAACAAGGGAAUAGCAAAUGUAUUAUUAUUAUUAUGUGUUACAUUAUUAUUAUUCACUCACUCUGUCACGUGUGCUCCCUCUCUGACCUCUAGGUCUACAGGCUGCUCGUUAUGGCGCACACCUGUUACCAUCGUUACGCGCACCUGCACGUCGUCAGACUCACCUGGACUCCAUCACUUCGUUGAUUACCUGCCCUAUAUAUGUCACUCCCUUUGGUUCCUUCCCCAGUCGUCAUUGUUUCUGUUUCAUGUCUGUGUGUGUGUUGUCCAAGGUUCUUGUUUUGUAUUAUGUUCUGUUUGUUUUCUUAAACAUUUUUGCGUUUUUUUUUUUUUGGUCAGGCUCUCAUGCCUCAGCCAGAUCGACAGGCUCAGGAUCGUCCCUUGGGUUGGCAUCCUGCGGCUGGUGCCGAACACGCCGGGGAGGGGGUACCGUCAGUUAUGCUCUCUCUCCGGCUCUCUAGGUCGCCAUGCUCCUGCGUCUCAGCCGGAUAGAGUUUCCUGUGCCUCUGCAGAGGUGUCCGGUCCGCUCCUGUUCUCCGGGAUCGUCACUUUGGGUGGCGUUCUGCAGCUGGAGCCGCACGUCGGGAAGGGGGAAGGGGAUACUGUCAUGUGUGCUCCCUCUCCGACCUCUAGGUCACCAGGCUGCUCGUUAAGGCGAGGUUCUUGUUUUGUAUUAUGUUCUGUUUUAUUUUAUUAAAACACUCACUCUCUGAACUUGCUUCCCGACUCUAAGUGCACGUCGUUACUCACUCUCUCACACACUCACACACAGUAUCUUCUGUUUUGCAUUUGAGUAUAUGCAAUGACCCC